CUGAGAUGUAGAGAUGAUGUCUAAAGGAUUGCUAAGCUGGGAUGGGGUCAGCCUAUCAGGGAACGGGAAGAGCAUAUCUAGAUACAGAGUGGCUAACCUAGUGAGGAAGGCUUUAAACUAGGUUCAAUGUGGGCAGGUGACAAAAGCCUGCAGGACCUGAUCAUGUGGUAUGUACAACACUAAUAUAUCAAUGGGAGCUGUGGGCACACAUAGAUCGCUGGCUGCUGGGAAGGAUGCCAGGGAGGACAUCACGGACAAACCCUUCAUAGAAGAUGACAUAUAUAUUCUGUGUAUGAAAAUCCCACUGAUCUCAGUGGGAGUUCGACAUGCAGAUCAUUGAAAUAUGGUAUCCUAUAGAAAAAAGAUAUGUCCAGAAGUUCUCAAUAAUACUUUUAAGAUAGUUAAAUGACCCUUUAUUCAAAAAUGGAAUGGCCUGGUAAUUUCUCA
Molecule: long non-coding RNA, 447 nt
Organism: Mauremys reevesii (Reeves's turtle)
Lineage: Eukaryota; Metazoa; Chordata; Testudines; Geoemydidae
Exons: 3
Source: RefSeq, a predicted model, not a curated record